UGUGAUCAGUGAUGCGUUUCCAGGGGACGUUCUUUGAGGGGACACAUUAAACUUUGAGGAAGUAGUGUCUUGUUCAGUGUUCACGGUUUAUAUUGCUGAAGGACAAUUACAAGUCUAAACGGAGAAGAGUCGUCAUUUCAAGGUGUUUUCGCGGACGUAUUGGCAUGUGGAUGUUGACAGUGUCGGAAGUAUUAAUCAAAGUUGACACGAGAAGUUGGAGCGAAUGCGAGAAGAGCAUGCGAUGAGCUGCCUGCCUGCUGCUGCCUACUGCCCUGCUGCUGCCGCUGCUGCUGUUGCAUCCAAUGUUGGGUAGCCAGCCACCCAUGCAUGUUGACACAGCCAGCAGCGGGCACCCAUGGCACAUGGGGAUGGACCCAGGAGUGGAGGAUGACCCAAUAGGAUGAACGUUCAGCCCACUCACUGUUGACACCAGUGACACAGUAUUGACCAGAUCUCCUGGAAGUGCCCCCUGACGCAGACCCAGUUGUUGGGUAGCCACCCAUGCACGUUGACACAGCCAGCACCGAGCACCCAGGGGGAUGGAACCAGGAAUGGAGGAUGGUCCAAUAGGGUAGCAUCAUGAAGGCAGUUUACCCCUGAAACUUUUUACAAAGGACCAUCAUCGUCAGAAAAGUUCCUUUAACCCUUUAGCUCCCAUAGAGGCCGUGAACGUCCGGCCACCUCUCUCCCAUAACGCCCGCCGACACCCGGAGUAUUUUCAUAGCUGAACAGAAGUCAUCAUGCAGUUUCUACAGCUUUCACUUUAGAUCACUAUUACAGACUCUCAAUAUAUUUUUAUUAUAAAAACUAUUUUGGGAAAUCCUGAACUACAGUGCAAAGUGGCUGAGCUCAAAACUACGGGCUCGCUGCUGCUGCCCAGUAGAAAAUAUAUUUUAAAUGCAGUACAGUUCCUAAUUGUGCGUUCAUGUGGUAAUUACAUUAAUACCAAACACUGACAUCCGAAGCACACAUGAACGCCACCGGCCCUUGUAGAAAAUUUUGAUUAAUGAAUGCACUAUAUCUCUUCUCUUGCCUACCUCUCUUCUCCACAAGCUCUCCCCUCAUCUAAUCUCUUCAUUUUGCUAGUCCUCAUCUCUCUUUCUUCAUUGUGUUACUGUUUAAGCUGAUAACUGUUACUUUUAAAAAUUAAAUAGUUAAAGAUA
This is a long non-coding RNA of Engraulis encrasicolus (European anchovy), 1163 nucleotides long. RefSeq lists it as uncharacterized. The record is from RefSeq and is a predicted model, not a curated record. The transcript is spliced from 5 exons. Lineage: Eukaryota; Metazoa; Chordata; Actinopteri; Clupeiformes; Engraulidae.